Molecule: transfer RNA, 72 nt
Filed under: Sus scrofa (pig)
Lineage: Eukaryota; Metazoa; Chordata; Mammalia; Artiodactyla; Suidae
Rfam family: tRNA
About the family: Transfer RNA (tRNA) molecules are approximately 80 nucleotides in length. Their secondary structure includes four short double-helical elements and three loops (D, anti-codon, and T loops).
Source: Rfam by way of RNAcentral
UCCCUGGUGGUCUAGUGAUUAGGAUUCAGGGCUUUCACUGCUGCGGCCCAGGUUCAAUCCCUGUUCUGGGAA